AACGAACGCUGGCGGCAGGCCUAACACAUGCAAGUCGAGCGGAUGUAGCAAUACAUCAGCGGCGCACGGGAUAGUAACACGUGGGAACCUACCUUUUGGUUCGGAAUAACGUCGGGAAACUGACGCUAAUACCGGAUAAGCCCUAUGGGGGAAAGAUUUAUCGCCAAAAGAUGGGCCCGCGCUAGAUUAGCUAGUUGGUGAGGUAAUGGCUCACCAAGGCUACGAUCUAUAGCUGGUCUGAGAGGAUGAUCAGCAUCACUGGGACUGAGACACGGCCCAGACUCCUACGGGAGGCAGCAGUGGGGAAUAUUGGACAAUGGGGGAAACCCUGAUCCAGCCAUGCCGCGUGAAUGAUGAAGGCCUUCGGGUUGUAAAGUUCUUUUGGCGGGGACGAUAAUGACGGUACCCGCAGAAUAAGCUCCGGCUAACUUCGUGCCAGCCGCCGCAGUAA
This 451-nucleotide ribosomal RNA is filed under the name uncultured bacterium. RNAcentral's name for it is "partial 16S ribosomal RNA". It matches the Rfam family "Bacterial small subunit ribosomal RNA", at positions 29 to 523 of the family's 1533-position model. The record is from RNAcentral.